GGGGAAUCGGAGUUGAAACUCCACCCCUGUGACAUAACCUCUGUCGUUGCUUCGGCGGGCACGCCCGCCGGAGGUUCAAAACUCUUAUUUUUUCCAGUAUCUCUGAGCCUGAAAGACAAAUAAUCAAAACUUUCAACAACGGAUCUCUUGGUUCUGGCAUCGAUGAAGAACGCAGCGAAAUGCGAUAAGUAAUGUGAAUUGCAGAAUUCAGUGAAUCAUCGAAUCUUUGAACGCACAUUGCGCCCGCCGGUAUUCCGGCGGGCAUGCCUGUUCGAGCGUCAUUUCAACCCUCAAGCCUCGGCUUGGUGUUGGGGCGCCCGGGCCCUCCGCGGCCCGGGGCCCCCGGGUCCGUCGGCGGGCCCGUCGGUACGCCGCGCGCGGGGACGCGCGGGCCGGCGCGGGCGCCGACCCCGCGCCCGCGGGCGCGGCCCGGCGCCCCGACCCCCCGACGGGGCACCAGGGGCCCCGGCGGGGCGCAGCAGCGCGAGCGCCGGCAGCCCAACCCCGUCAAGGGAAGGAUACAUUACUGGAGUUGAAAAACUCACCCCUGUGAACAUAACCUCUGUCGUUGCUUUCGGCGGGCACGCCCGCCGGAGGGUUCAAAACUCUUUAUUUUUUCAGCUAUCUCUGAGCCUGAAAGACAAAUAAUCAAAACUUUCAACAACGGGAUCUCUUUGGUUUCUGGGCAUCGCAUGAAAGAAACGCAGCGCAAAAUGCGGAAUAAGUUAAAUGGUGGAAAUUUGCCAGAAAAUUUCACUGGGAAAUCAUCCAAAUUCUUUUGGAAACGCACAAUUUGGCGGCCCCGCCGGGGUAAUUUCCGGGCGGGGGCAAUGCCCUGGUUUCGAAGCCGGUCAUUUUUCAACCCCAAACCCCCCGGCCUUUGGGGUUGGUUUUUGGGGGGGCGGGCCCCCCGGGGGGGCCCCCCCCCCGGGCCCGGGGGGGCCCCCCCAAAGAUUUUCCUUCCCGGAGCGGGGAGUCCCUUCUCCGGGGGAACCCCCUUGGGGGCGGCGCGGCGCUAAUAAAACCACCGGCGCGGUUAAAAAGAACCCCCGAAAAAAACAUCACCUUUUCCUGGGGGAAAGAAUUUCCCCCACCGGCGGCGGUAGGUGGUUGCCCUACAUCCCGGCCUCCCCCCCAUAACACACCCCCCCCCCCCCCCCCCUCCAAAUUUUUUUUAUUUAAUAAGUUAAGUUGAGGAGGGUGUGAGGGUCGCCCCCCGCCCUCGUAACGGGCUUGUGGGUACGAAACGGUGGUUUGAAAGAAAAGUAAGAAACCAGCCUCCCUUCGCUGCCUCCGCGUGGGGCAAAAAAAGUAUCAUUGAUAAAGGGGGCCAUUUCCCGAAUUAUCUAAAACAUCACUUUACCAGGGCCGGGGCGCUAACCCCACCGGAAAAACCAAAAAGUAAAACUGAAAAAUAAGGAACCAAAUAUAGAACCCCUUUUUAAAAACUUUUUUUAAAAAAAAUAUCCCCCACAACCACAUGGGGGGCCCCUUUCCCCCUUUUAGACCCCGGGGCCAAAAAAAGUUUUUUAAUUUAUCCCCUUUUCUAACCCCCCGGGGCCCCCCGGAAAAUAACCCCCCCCACCCAUUUUUUUUAAACCCCCCCUGGGGGGGAGGUGGAGGUCCUCCUCCCUUUGAAAAAGGCGGGAGGUGGGGGCCAAAACCCCCUUUUCCCUGUUGUGAAACCCCAAAAAAGGGGUUUAAUUUGGGGGGGACCCCCCUAAAAAAACCAAAUUUUUCCCCCCCCCUUUUUGGGGCUGGCUUUCCCCCGGAAAAAAAGGGCGGCGUAGAACCACUCCCCCCAAAAAAAAUAAAAAUUAAAGAAAACCCAGUUUUUCCCUCAUAAGGAAAAAAAGCCCU
RNAcentral lists this unclassified non-coding RNA (1860 nucleotides) under Pyricularia oryzae. RNAcentral's name for it is "sequence contains 5.8S rRNA gene, ITS2". The stretch from base 128 to 281 matches the Rfam family "5.8S ribosomal RNA". Lineage: Eukaryota; Fungi; Ascomycota; Sordariomycetes; Magnaporthales; Pyriculariaceae. The record is from RNAcentral.